UGGGGAAUAUUGGACAAUGGGCGAAAGCCUGAUCCAGCCAUGCCGCGUGUGUGAAGAAGGUCUUCGGAUUGUAAAGCACUUUAAGUUGGGAGGAAGGGCAGUAAGCGAAUACCUUGCUGUUUUGACGUUACCGACAGAAUAAGCACCGGCUAACUCUGUGCCAGCAGCCGCGGUAAUACAGAGGGUGCAAGCGUUAAUCGGAAUUACUGGGCGUAAAGCGCGCGUAGGUGGUUCGUUAAGUUGAAUGUGAAAGCCCCGGGCUCAACCUGGGAACUGCAUCCAAAACUGGCGAGAUAGAGUAGGGCAGAGGGUGGUGGAAUUUCCUGUGUAGCGGUGAAAUGCGUAGAUAUAGGAAGGAACACCAGUGGCGAAGGCGACCACCUGGGCUCAUACUGACACUGAGGUGCGAAAGCGUGGGGAGCAAACAGG
Molecule: ribosomal RNA, 429 nt
Filed under: Pseudomonadota bacterium
Lineage: Bacteria; Pseudomonadati; Pseudomonadota
Description: Proteobacteria bacterium partial 16S ribosomal RNA
Rfam family: Bacterial small subunit ribosomal RNA
Source: RNAcentral